This 491-nucleotide ribosomal RNA is filed under the name uncultured Bacillus sp. RNAcentral describes it as "bacterial SSU rRNA". It matches the Rfam family "Bacterial small subunit ribosomal RNA", at positions 41 to 515 of the family's 1533-position model. The record is from RNAcentral. Lineage: Bacteria; Bacillati; Bacillota; Bacilli; Caryophanales; Bacillaceae.
GGGUUGCCAAAUAAUGCAAGUCGAGCGAAAACAAGAGGAGCUUGCUCCUCUUGCUUAGCGGCGGACGGGUGAGUAACACGUGGGCAACCUGCCUGUAAGACUGGGAUAACUUCGGGAAACCGGAGCUAAUACCGGAUAAUCCUUUUCCUCUCAUGAGGAAAAGCUGAAAGUCGGUUUACGCUGACACUUACAGAUGGGCCCGCGGCGCAUUAGCUAGUUGGUGAGGUAACGGCUCACCAAGGCGACGAUGCGUAGCCGACCUGAGAGGGUGAUCGGCCACACUGGGACUGAGACACGGCCCAGACUCCUACGGGAGGCAGCAGUAGGGAAUCUUCCGCAAUGGACGAAAGUCUGACGGAGCAACGCCGCGUGAGCGAUGAAGGCCUUCGGGUCGUAAAGCUCUGUUGUUAGGGAAGAACAAGUAUCGGAGUAACUGCCGGUACCUUGACGGUACCUAACCAGAAAGCCACGGCUAACUACGUGCCAGCAGC